GCCUACGGGAGGCAGCAGUGGGGAAUAUUGGACAAUGGGGGAAACCCUGAUCCAGCGACGCCGCGUGAGUGAAGAAGUAUUUCGGUACGUAGAGCUCUAUCAGCAGGAAAGAAAAUGACGGUACCUGACUAAGAAGCCCCGGCUAACUACGUGCCAGCAGCCGCGGUAAUACGUAGGGUGCAAGCGUUAUCCGGAUUUACUGGGUGUAAAGGGCGAGUAGACGGCGUUGCAAGUCAGAUGUGAAAGGCUAGGGCUCAACCUUAGGAGAGCAUCUGAAACUGUAAUGCUAGAGUGCAGGAGAGGUA
RNAcentral lists this ribosomal RNA (305 nucleotides) under uncultured bacterium. RNAcentral describes it as "bacterial SSU rRNA". It matches the Rfam family "Bacterial small subunit ribosomal RNA", at positions 337 to 659 of the family's 1533-position model. The record is from RNAcentral.